UCACAAUAUGGUCGAGUGGUUAUGACACCUCGGAUUAAUACACCCAUCCAAAAAUGACUUUGGAAUUUAUUCAAGGAGAGGGAGGUUCAAAUCCUCCUUUGAGCA
Non-coding RNA from Rhodocollybia butyracea, 105 nucleotides. NCBI's taxonomy places the organism in Eukaryota, Fungi, Basidiomycota, Agaricomycetes, Agaricales, Omphalotaceae. The record is from the annotation of a GenBank genome assembly.